AUCGCUUCUCGGCCUUUUGGCUAAGAUCAAGUAUAGUAUCUGAACUGAACAGUAACUUGUUGCAUUUGCCUCAUUAACUAGUUAUGAAAUAUAGAAUGCCUAAAGGAUUCCUGUGAAUUUUGGAAUCUGUUCUUCAGCUGGAUAUAUGCAUAACGCUGACCUACUUCCAGAGUAGCCCAAAACACUAUUCAUUUUGAGUAAGUUCUGGAACAGUA
This is a small nuclear RNA of Rattus norvegicus (Norway rat), 215 nucleotides long. Ensembl annotates it as U2 spliceosomal RNA. NCBI's taxonomy places the organism in Eukaryota, Metazoa, Chordata, Mammalia, Rodentia, Muridae. The record is from Ensembl.